GAGAGAGGGAAUUUUAAAGUGUGAAAUAGACUAAGGGGUUUUUUUUUAGCUCCUUCUACAAUGUCAAAAGGGUACGACUAUGACAUGACACCAACAGAGGAAAUUUUUCUGCUGCCACUGCCCUACACGGAAAAAUAAAGGGGAGCAGUGUUGUAGAAUCCACCCUUGUCUAAGCAAAGCUACAGUCUACUCAUUCAACACCCAUCCUUUAUAAUUUCCUUCCAACCUUUCACCUACCUUGGACCAAAUUCACUACUUCUCCUAAUGGAAUGGCUUCAAUCCCUCUUCUUCCCCUUGAAGAAGCUUUGGAAUCGGCUGCACUUGGCUCCCCAAAAACGUAGGGGAAUAUAUAUUCUGUAUGAGGAUGUGAAAUCGUGCUCAUGUGAAGAUGUGCAAGUGCUGUGGUCAUUACUGGUGGAGUCAGACACAGCUUUGUUUUCAAAACAAUGAAGUCUCUAUCACUAGUUCCAUGGAUAUUACCCUAAGAGAGGAGGGAUUAAGGAAAACCUGCAUGUACAUACAUACUUACAGUGCACUCAUGGGGAAGCCAUUUUUCAUGGUCUUGUCUUUCCUCUGAUAUAUGAAGCCAUAUCUUAGUCGUAUGGGAUUCUCAUAUUCCAGGUAUUUUAUUUGAAUAACAGGAGGAAGAUUCUGAUUUCUGUUUACCCCUUUCCAGUUGGUCUAGAGUCUUGCCUGGUGGAAAUUAGGUACCUUAUUGAUAUGCACUUCUUGGAAUGCAACCUGUAGAGAUUGGUCUAUUUAUGGUAUAGUUCCUGGGUUGUUUACAUUAUUUGAUUUAGCUGUGUAUUCCAUAUUCAAGAGAAAUGUUUCAUGCGGAGUUUAAGCCU
Molecule: long non-coding RNA, 848 nt
Organism: Rhododendron vialii
Lineage: Eukaryota; Viridiplantae; Streptophyta; Magnoliopsida; Ericales; Ericaceae
Exons: 2
Source: RefSeq, a predicted model, not a curated record